RNAcentral lists this ribosomal RNA (417 nucleotides) under uncultured bacterium. RNAcentral describes it as "bacterial SSU rRNA". It matches the Rfam family "Bacterial small subunit ribosomal RNA", at positions 29 to 429 of the family's 1533-position model. The record is from RNAcentral.
AAUUAACGCUGGCGGCAUGCCUAACACAUGCAAGUCGCACGAGAAAGCCCGGUUCGCCGGGCGAGUAAAGUGGCGCACGGGUGAGUAACGCGUGGAUAAUCUACCUCGUUCUGGGGGAUAACCCAUCGAAAGGUGGGCUAAUACCGCAUAAUCCGGCUGAAUUUUGGUUUGGUCGGCAAAGGUGGCCUCUUCAUGAAAGCUACCGGGAAGAGAUGAGUCCGCGUCCCAUUAGCUUGUUGGUAGGGUAACGGCCUACCAAGGCGACGAUGGGUAGCUGGUCUGAGAGGACGAUCAGCCACACUGGAACUGGUACACGGUCCAGACUCCUACGGGAGGCAGCAGUGAGGAAUAUUGCGCAAUGGGGGAAACCCUGACGCAGCGAUGCCGCGUGAGUGAAGAAGGCCUUCGGGUCGUAAA